Melospiza melodia melodia is the source of this 161-nucleotide long non-coding RNA. RefSeq lists it as uncharacterized. The record is from RefSeq and is a predicted model, not a curated record. The transcript is spliced from 2 exons. NCBI's taxonomy places the organism in Eukaryota, Metazoa, Chordata, Aves, Passeriformes, Passerellidae.
CCGAGGCUGCUGAUUUCCCCAGGAUCUGCCAUUUACCUCAAGGAGCGGCAGCCAGAAGAUGUGUCAAAGCACCUUCUUCAGCAUCUCAGGGAAGGGCCACAGUGAGCGUGUUUUGCAACUCAUUGUUAAAUUGAGAAUAAAAAAUCCCCAGCUGCCUUCCA